GACGGAGUGGGCGGGGGCGCAGGCCAUCUUACAGGGAGGGGAGGGGGGAACGGAACCUGUUUCCUGAGGCGUCUUUGGGCGGCGCGCGCUGGGGCUGCGCGCAGGACGGUUGCCCAGCCUGUGCGGGCGCAAGGUUGGGACAGACAAGUGCUUUUCACAACUACCAUGGUACACUGAUGUCAACACAUCACCCUUUUUUGCUGCUGAAAGGACAUGACAGUUGCAAUGGAGGUGCAUGGCUCCAUAGACUUUUAUCACAUGUGGGUGUUGCUCAGUCUGGCACAGCAAUUUGUGGUACACUUGAAAAGGAAUUGCAUUAUGAAAAAUGAAAUGAUGAUGAUGAUGAUGAAAAUUCUGCUUGCUGUGUGGAUUCCCUAGUGCAGUCUUAUUAUCACUGCUGCCGUCAUUCAACUUCUGAAGUCUCCAUUCUGUGCUCACUGAUGAACUGCAGCUGAACGAGUGACAUGGAAUGAAUCAAGGCAGUCUCUGGAGAAGGAUCUUAGAGGGCAAUGGUCCAGUGGUUUGGAUGUCUUCUCCACAUUCUCAUAUCAGGCUAGCCUUCAUUUGCUGUUUGUGAGCAGAGACAAACUAGUUCAGCACACUGUGUAUGUCUGCAAAGCACUACAAGCAACAAUUUCCUCACCAAUGGAAACAAUGAAUCAGCUCUGCAAAGGAGCAGUAUAUGCCAGCUGGCUGCCACCUUCUAUUCCCGUGAUGACUAUAUUUCGGUGCUGUUGUGUAUAUAAAGUUUGUGAAGGGAUUUAGGGUCCUUUGGGAUGAAAUGUGAUUGUCCUGGUCCAAUGAUUCUUUAAUUAGUUAUACACAGUGCAACCGCUUGAAAAGGUAAGGUUGAGAAAGGGAGAGUUCAAAAUAUUUCAUAGCCUAAUGGUUGAAGUGCUCAUCUGAGAGGAAGAAGGCCCCUCCCCAUGUGAAACCUUUAUCCUCUUCAGGCAAAGUAAAGAAUUGCUUUUGGGGGUUCCCACCUCUCAGGUGAAGAUCCUGACCAGUGGACUAAAAGUUAUAAACUGGGAGGCUCAAGUGUUCCUACAACUGAGGCUAAUGGGCAAAUUCAUCACUUUCAUAAGUAGAUACAGCCUCUCUUACUUCAGCAGAAUUGGUCUUUCUUUCAUAAGAAGGGAAUUUGCUCCAUUGUUUUUACUUAGCAUUAUUUAUUUUGACUUACUAAGUGCCUCUCACAGCUUCUAAGCACUAUAUGCUGUUAGAACUACCCAGUACAAAAUGAAACAUGCACAUCAUAGGUAGCAAGUGACCUGUGCAAUAUAUUUUACUUGCUUGUCUGAAUAAUAAAAAUCACACACACCCCUCUACAUUUACACACAGUAGCUCUUAAAUCUCUGUUCCCAAAAUGCAUAGGAAAACAGAUGAGCUUUGCAAACAAAUCUGGGUUAUGGCAGACCAGUAAUGUAGAGGGGCAAAUUGCAGAGGGAAGGACCACACUCAUAAAAUGCCCCUCCAGGAACCCCUUUCUUGUGCCUCAUUCAUUAUUCCUCACUGCACCAGGGAUGGUAUCAUAUGGCAAGAGAGUUCUUGUAGAGCUAAUAAAAUGUGUAAAAUCAUCAGAUUGGCUAAUCCUUCUGCCACAGUUAUCAGUUGAAACUGACAUUUCACUGAUAUCCUGACUCCGCAUGAACCACAAAGAAACAUCAGGCUACCAUUUGUAAUUUUGUAAACAGGAAUAUUAAAAGCUAUUCAGCUUUGCUUCCUGCAGGUGAUCCCACCCAGAUGCAUAUCACUGCCUGUUGGAGCAGCAGUGGGAGGAAAAAAUGAAAGGGAAUUUCUUUUCCCAUGAGGCACUGAGUCUUGAAAUGUAUUCAAGUUCAAAAUGUGCAACAAGAGCAACACAGUUUCUUUAAAGCUGCUUCUUUCAUGAGUGCCUCCCACUGGCAUUGUGACAAGCCAGAGCGGCAGUGCGAGAAGCUGCUUUAGAGAAACACUGCAUAGGAUUUCCUUAUUGGAACAGAGGCAGGAGGCAAAAAAUGAAAAACUUGUGGGCACUUGCUCUUGGGCAAGGAAAAUUAACACUAAAAGAAGCAGACUGAUGCCCAAAAUGCGCUGGGAGACAGAUGCUGAAAAUGGGAUAUUUGCCAUAUACAAUAUACAGGCUUAAGCCUGUGCUCCUUCUUAUUACCAUUUGUAAGGGCUGCAGGAUCCAAACAUCUGUUACAGAUAAAGCGCCUAAUAGACAUUGACAUGAUAUUUUAUUUUAGAGGUUACAGUUCACAUGGUAGUUUUUCUGUAUGUCUUACUAUGCAAGCAGGAGUAUUGUGUUGAGAAUUAAAAUGGAACUGCUGAAUUUAAAUAAGCAGCAGGAUUAACCUUGACAUCUGACAGAACAAGCAGAAUAUAUAAUCAUUAUUUCUGAGGCAUGGACUUAAUCCCAGUCCCAUUUAAGAGAAGAAACACCUUCAUAGCUUAUUACUGCAGAAUCAGUGCCUCGCUCCUAGAAAAUCAGUUCCUUACUGUGAGAGACAGCUUGACUAUUGGCAGAAGUGACUAUUCAAGAGAAUCAUUCUUGGAUCUUUUGCUCCCCACACUAGCCUGAAGGUGACAGGCCUAAAUUGUGAAUUUGGCUUGAAAAUAAAGAUUAUAAAUUGUCAUUUGGGAGCUCAGCUCUGGCAGUAGACAUCUUGCUGAUAUCACUUUUGCAACACCAGAAAGAUGGGUAGUCAAUGUCAGAGAUUGCAAACCAAGUUGCAACCUGUUGUGAUACAUGCUUGACAAUCCAGAAAACAAUAUUGCUGUUUAAACAUGAAAUAACGUGUUGACAUAUGAAACAUGAAUGUUCCUCUUGAUUGCAUUAAACCAGUUUUGCAACAACAUAGCUAUUAAUCAGCAGAUUCUACCAUGGUGGAUGUUAGUGCUCUGCCUUCUGUGGAACACUGGUCAUGAUCUCUAACCCCUGGGGGUUUGAUUCUUCUUUCACUUUUGCUAGUGUUAAGUAGGGAUGUGAAUGGCUAACUAGUUAACCAGUGGGGGCUGGAACUGCACCCCACCCAUCACAGGCAGGGGGCUGCUCCAGCCGGGGUGCUCCAGCCUGGCCAGAGCAACUGCUGUUGGUGGCAGGCCUGGCCCAGGUGUACCUCAAACUGGGAGUGCUCCAGCCCAGCUUGAGCAGCGCCUGUCCACAGCAGGGGGACCACUCCAGCCUGCCUGCAGCAGACAGCCCCCUCUGGCCCACCAGUUAAUCAUUGCAUUUAAUCAGUUACAUGGGAUUUUACAUCCCUUGUGUUAAGCUGGAAUUAGUCCCUCUAAAUCAGGGAAGUUAUAAUUAAAGCUAGUAUAAAUGGGAGGGGAAUCAGGUAUUAGAUUAUAUUGCAAAAGUUUUUAGCCAAGCAACUCCCUUGCUGGGAAACCACAGUGAUAAAUAGAUGACAGAGAGACAAGAUGGAUGAGGCUAUAUCUUUUAUUGGACCAACUCCUGUUGUUGAAAGAGACAAGCUUUUGAGCUAUCCGAGCUCUUCUUC
Non-coding RNA from Pelodiscus sinensis (Chinese soft-shelled turtle), 3485 nucleotides. The record is from RefSeq and is a predicted model, not a curated record. Lineage: Eukaryota; Metazoa; Chordata; Testudines; Trionychidae.